RNAcentral lists this unclassified non-coding RNA (329 nucleotides) under soil metagenome. Its description in RNAcentral is "partial contains 5.8S ribosomal RNA, internal transcribed spacer 2, and large subunit ribosomal RNA". The stretch from base 1 to 120 matches the Rfam family "5.8S ribosomal RNA", at positions 35 to 154 of the family's 154-position model. The record is from RNAcentral.
GAUGAAGAACGCAUCGAAAUGCGAUAAGUAGUGUGAAUUGCAGAAUUCAGUGAAUCAUCGAAUCUUUGAACGCACAUUGCGCCCCUUGGUAUCCCGAGGGGCAUGCCUGUUCGAGCGUCAUUUCACCACUCAAGCCUGGCUUGGUGUUGGGCGACGUCCCCUUUAGGGACGCGCCUCGAAACGCUCGGCGGCGCGGCACCGGCUUUAAGCGUAGCAGAAUCUUUCGCUUUGGAAGUCGGGGCCCCGCCUGCCGGAAUACCUACUCGUAAGGUUGACCUCGGAUCAGGCAGGGAUACCCGCUGAACUUAAGCAUAUCAAUAAGCGGAGGA